Molecule: ribosomal RNA, 141 nt
Filed under: Soella spinistipula
Lineage: Eukaryota; Viridiplantae; Streptophyta; Jungermanniopsida; Porellales; Lejeuneaceae
Description: 5.8S ribosomal RNA
Rfam family: 5.8S ribosomal RNA
About the family: 5.8S ribosomal RNA (5.8S rRNA) is a component of the large subunit of the eukaryotic ribosome. It is transcribed by RNA polymerase I as part of the 45S precursor that also contains 18S and 28S rRNA.
Source: RNAcentral
AUGACUCUCAGCAACGGAUAUCUUGGCUCUUGCAACGAUGAUGCGAUACCUAGUGUGAAUUGCAGAAUUCCGCGAAUCAUCGAGUUUUUGAACGCAAGUUGCGCCCGAGGCUCGUCCGAGGGCAUGCCUGCCUGAGCGUCC